CCUUCAAGAUACAUAUGAUCUAGGAUUUAUUUAUUUAUUUUUUGCCACAAGAUUUUUUGAAAUUUAAGAACUGAUACACUAAUUAAAAGGGAAAUAUCUUGGACUCUGCAUUCCCCUCUUCCAGAACUGCAAGAAAAACUGGAGCCACAAGGACUUCAUUGGGACAAGAGCAACAACCCAUCUGUUUCUGAAGGCUGGUAAUUGUGUAUAUGAAGACUUCAUGUCAGGCUGAGACAGCAUCCCUACAAUGCUAGCUUUGUGACUGAAUUUAACCUGACCACCUUUACUACCUUUUGUUCUAUAAAAUACUGAUUUAUGCUGAAAGCUUGGACAGCGGAGUUCAGCUGAAUUGGAAGCAUAAUACUGUAAAGAGGAAGACUGCAAUUUGAAGUAUGAAUGUCUCAGUGUUAAAAGGCCUCUAAUACAGUUACUAUGUAAGCAGAGUAAGGUUCACCACAAUGUUGAAGACAGGCCAUACAAUUUUAUAUCACUUAAAUCCACAAAGACAAGUGAAGGUUCUGUUGUUGCUGGAAUGCGUACUUUUUAUAGUGACUAUUUCAUAUCACCUCUUGGUAAAAAAAUGAAAACAUCGUCCAAAUGUAUUUUUAAGAACAAUUUAUGUAGGUCAUCUCUAAAUGCAUUGACUGGGUCUCUUUUUUUUUUAAAUCUAGACUUUUGGAAAAUUGAUGUAUCUUUUUGUUAUUUCUAAUUUUAUGAAUCAGGUGAAGUUUAAGGUGCUGUUUGUAUACCAUUAGUAUUCUGUUCAGCGUGGAAAAGUUACUAUCUGAAAUAAUAUGCUUACCAUUUUUUGACAUGUAAAGAAAAGAGAUAACUAACAUUAUAGCUUUGUCUAUUGCUUUUCUUCUUAAAAGACAUUAGCAUUCAGCUUUUGGUUUAGGCUCAGGAUAGAAACUAAAGGAAAAAUACAUUUCUGCAGGCAUUUGUAUUUUUUUUUUCCUUUGACUAUUAAUUAAUCCAUAGCAUGCUUUUACUGGACAGUUCAUUAGUUUUGUGUGACAGAAAA
Coturnix japonica (Japanese quail) is the source of this 1024-nucleotide non-coding RNA. The record is from RefSeq and is a predicted model, not a curated record. Lineage: Eukaryota; Metazoa; Chordata; Aves; Galliformes; Phasianidae.